RNAcentral lists this ribosomal RNA (501 nucleotides) under uncultured bacterium. RNAcentral describes it as "partial 16S ribosomal RNA". It matches the Rfam family "Bacterial small subunit ribosomal RNA", at positions 30 to 523 of the family's 1533-position model. The record is from RNAcentral.
AUUGAACGCUGGCGGCAGGCUUAACACAUGCAAGUCGAGCGGGGGAAGGUAGCUUGCUACCGGACCUAGCGGCGGACGGGUGAGUAAUGCUUAGGAAUCUGCCUAUUAGUGGGGGACAACAUCUCGAAAGGGAUGCUAAUACCGCAUACGUCCUACGGGAGAAAGCAGGGGAUCUUCGGACCUUGCGCUAAUAGAUGAGCCUAAGUCGGAUUAGCUAGUUGGUGGGGUAAAGGCCUACCAAGGCGAAGAUCUGUAGCGGGUCUGAGAGGAUGAUCCGACACACUGGGACGGAGACACGGUCCAGACUCCUACGGGAGGCAGCAGUGGGGAAUAUUGGACAAUGGGGGGAACCCUGAACCAGCCAUGCCGCGUGUGUGAAGAAGGCCUUAUGGUUGUAAAGCACUUUAAGCGAGGAGGAGGCUACUCUAGUUAAUACCUAGGGAUAGUGGACGUUACUCGCAGAAUAAGCACCGGCUAACUCUGUGCCAGCAGCCGCCGUAA